This 406-nucleotide ribosomal RNA is filed under the name uncultured bacterium. Its description in RNAcentral is "partial 16S ribosomal RNA". It matches the Rfam family "Bacterial small subunit ribosomal RNA", at positions 30 to 526 of the family's 1533-position model. The record is from RNAcentral.
AUUGAACGCUGGCGGCAGGCCUAACACAUGCAAGUCGAACGAGUGGCGGACGGGUGAGUAAUGUCUGGGAAACUGCAUGAUGGAGGGGGAUAACUACUGGAAAAGGUAGCUAAUACCGCAUACCAUCAGAUGGGCACAGAUGGGAUUAGCUUGUUGGUGGGGUAACGGCUCACCAAGGCGGAGAUCCAUAGCAGGUCUGAGAGGAUGAACAGCCACACUGGAACUGAGACACGGUCCAGACUCCUACGGGAGGCAUCAGUGGGGAAUAUUGCACAAUGGGCUCAAGCCUGAUGCAGCCAUGCCUCGUGUAUGAAGUAGGCCUUCGGGUUGUAAAGUACUUUCAGCGGGGAGGCGUUACCCUCAGAAGAAGCACCGGCUAACUCCGUGCCAGCAGCCGCGGUAAUUC